CGGGUUCGCCGGAUUUUUUCCAGAAACCGGCAGGUGCUCCGAUCGACGUAAAAACUUCCACCACUCGCUUCAAUUUCUUCAUGGAACUGUUUCAGAACUUCAAUCCGAGUUCAUCUGUCCAAGAAUCUCGAAGAUUUAUCGUCUAGAACUCGAGAUAUCGGCGUUGACUCAAAAUCAGGCUUAAAUCGGAACAAGCUUGCCGCCGCCCAUACAGGCCGUGCCGCUAUUCAAGGCUUCCACAUACAGGUGCGAAAGGACCAUAUGAAGCUAAUGGAAGAAGUUUGGUGAAGAUUGGUGGCCGGAGGAGGAAGAUAUGACCGAACGAAAAAUCAAGGGCGAUUUCCGGCGGGGAACGACGCUGCUGCC
This 366-nucleotide long non-coding RNA is filed under the name Rosa chinensis. RNAcentral describes it as "sRNA RchiOBHm_Chr3g0491261". The record is from RNAcentral. Lineage: Eukaryota; Viridiplantae; Streptophyta; Magnoliopsida; Rosales; Rosaceae.